CCGUGCUGCACGACGGGACAGUUUAUAAGCAUUAGGCCAGCAUCCAUACAGGGAUUGCCUUAGUAACGGCGAGUGAAGCGGCUAUGAGCUCAAAUUUGAAAUCUGGCUUCUUUGAGAGCCGAGUCGUAUAUUCGUAGAAGAAGCCUCCGCUCUGGAUCCAGGCCUAGUUGCUUCGGACUGCACGGCGGAGAAGGUGAGAAUCUUGUAUGUGACUGGCACUCAGUGGAGAUGUGAAACUCUCUUCGACGAGUCGAGUUGUUUGGCAGUGCAUCUCAAAUUGGGUGGUAAAUUUCAUCUCUAGAUUUGUACGGUCGGCGGUUUCUGAACAAUAUAUAGUGAGAGAUGAAAAUAAGCACCCAUUUUUGGAUGCAGAGCCAAACAACACGUCUCAGUCGAAGAGAGGUACACGUGUAGCAAACAUGACCUGCUCGCAUGCGGAAUUCUCACCCUCUAUGACGUCCUGUCUGUUGUGAUUUAGACCGGUACCACUUGCGCGGCGUCUAUAUAGAAAUUGCAAAUCGGACCCUCUGUCGAGCGAGAUUUCUAAUUUGAGCUGUAUGCGCUUCAGUCUGCAGUUGAGGAGCGCGUUCCGGCUAGAAUCAUGGCGUCAGCAUAGUGAUAUACUCAACUUCAACGACC
RNAcentral lists this ribosomal RNA (639 nucleotides) under uncultured fungus. RNAcentral's name for it is "eukaryotic LSU rRNA". The stretch from base 2 to 341 matches the Rfam family "Eukaryotic large subunit ribosomal RNA", at positions 24 to 358 of the family's 3401-position model. The record is from RNAcentral. Lineage: Eukaryota; Fungi.